AUUGAACGCUGGCGGCAGGCCUAACACAUGCAAGUCGAGCGGAUGAAGGGGGCUUGCUCCUGGAUUCAGCGGCGGACGGGUGAGUAAUUCCUAGGAAUCUGCCUUGUAGUGGGGGAUAACGUCCGGAAACGGGCGCUAAUACCGCAUACGUCCUGAGGGAGAAAGUGGGGGAUCUUCGGACCUCACGCUAUCAGAUGAGCCUAGGUCGGAUUAGCUAGGUGGUUGGGUAAAUGCCUACCAAGGCGACGAUCCGUAACUGGUCUGAGAGGAUGAUCAGUCACACUGGAACUGAGACACGGUCCAGACUCCUACGGGAGGCAGCAGUGGGGAAUAUUGGACAAUGGGCGAAAGCCUGAUCCAGCAAUGCCGCGUGUGUGAAGAAGGUCUUCGGAUUGUAAAGCACUUUAAGUUGGGAGGAAGGGCAGUAAGUUAAUACAUUGCUGUUUUGACGGUACCAAAAGAAUAGGCACCGGCUAACUUCGUG
Molecule: ribosomal RNA, 484 nt
Filed under: uncultured bacterium
Lineage: Bacteria
Description: partial 16S ribosomal RNA
Rfam family: Bacterial small subunit ribosomal RNA
Source: RNAcentral